Molecule: long non-coding RNA, 1455 nt
Organism: Gadus chalcogrammus (walleye pollock)
Lineage: Eukaryota; Metazoa; Chordata; Actinopteri; Gadiformes; Gadidae
Exons: 3
Source: RefSeq, a predicted model, not a curated record
UGCAGGAUGCUCGAGGCCUAUCGAAAAAAAAGAGACGUCAACCUUAUCUUGCAUAUAUAGCUCUGUGUCGUUUAAAUAUCAAGCAUAACUAUAACGCAGUGGCUAUUCGUACGGCGACCGUAAGAAUAGCAAUUAGGCUAUUCGUACGGCGCGCCGUAAAAAUACCACAUUAGUCUAUUUUCACGGCAGGUUAUGGUUAGGGUUAGGGUUAGGGUUAUUAUUAUAAUUAAUUACUAUAAUUACGGUCGGCCCGGUUAGGGUUAGGGUUAGCGCCGAGCAGACUGAUGACCGUACUCAAGUACGGUCACGUGACAAGCUCGGUCGCCGUACGAAUAGCCACUGCCUAACUAUAAUAUACAAAUUAUAUUCACCGUGUAUAUAUAAUUGCUAUUCACUUGUAUACAUUCUCGCUGUACCUUUAGAUACCUCCCUUCCUCUCUCUGGAUGGGAGCUUCGUUGGUAUUUGAAUCGCCAUUGUAGCCACGAAAUCUGAUACUAUGAAAUGACUUCUUUGUUAUGUAGAUUCCGUUAACUGUCUUGCAGUCUCCACGAUGGUCACUCCAACUCGCCUAUGUCACCUUUGCAUUAACUACCCACAAUGCGAACGUUUACCUAUAAAAAUCUCGUUCACCCAUUGUCUCACUGAAUGUAUCCUUGGUAGUGUAGCAGGAUAGAGGUGCUAUCCAUGUUAGUCACGGUACAAGUACCACUAGUGGCCGUCAUGAUGUGGGCGGUAUAAAAGCAGCCGUCCUCCACCUGCCUCUUUCUCUUUUGCGCUCCUGUCACUUGCGCGUCACUUCCGGGCCAAAAGGUGGUCUGGUCCGAUAGGGCGACUAUUUGUUGCUGCUUCAGGGUUUUUGUGCGAGCUGUGGUGUAAGUUCUUGUAAACGCUGAUGACGGCCGGAGUCCUCUCUCCCUCCCUCCUCCUGUGUGAACGGGAGUGUGUGUGUGUGUGUGUGCCCGUGUUUGGUCGUAAACAGGACCAACUGCAAUCAGCUCAUUGGGGUCGCUGCUGCUUUGCCAGGCUGAUAUUGUCUUUCCACGCUACUCCGCUUCACUGUUGCUGCACGCCGCGUUGUUUACUUCACGUGCUUUGCUGGCUGAUAUUGCCUUUCCACGCUACUCCGCUUCACUGCUGCUGCACGCCGCGUUGUUUACUUCACGUGUUACACCACCGGCCGGCAUCUCGUGCCUACUGCCGCCUGUCGCUGCGGCGCACCCCCCUCCCGAGUAGUGCUACCAAGGGUGCUCAUCCAGUGUGUCUUUUAACCGGGGUUGCCCCCCCCCCAUCCGUGUGUGCAUGAGUGUUAAUGUGUGUUCUAAUUAUUUGAAUGGUUUGUUUUCUUUUGGUUUGAUUACUCAUUUAGUUUUGCGUUUAUCUCAACUAUUUUGUGCCUAUUGUUUGUUUUCUUUUGAUUUGAUUACUCAUUUAGUUUUGCUUUUAUCUCAACUAUU